AACCCCUUCCACCAAUCUUCUUUUCUUGUCCUUCUUCUUCUUUGUCUUCCACUUCCCUCAGCUUUUCUUCCUCGCUCCCUCAGCAGCCCCUCAGGUGUCCUGUUCUUGGUGCUGGCUUUGCUGGGCUUUCUGUUGCUUGGCAUUUGUUGCAGCACGGCUCCAGGGAUUUGCCUUUGUUAGUUGACAUAUAUGAUGAA
Long non-coding RNA from Coffea eugenioides, 197 nucleotides. RefSeq lists it as uncharacterized. The transcript is spliced from 3 exons. Lineage: Eukaryota; Viridiplantae; Streptophyta; Magnoliopsida; Gentianales; Rubiaceae. The record is from RefSeq and is a predicted model, not a curated record.